CGGCGCGGCCAUAGCACGUUGAAUGCAUUAGUUCCCAAUGGAUCACUAAAGUUAAUCAAUGUUGCGUGUGGUUAGUAUCCAGAUGGGUGCUGCUGAUGGAUUUUCACGGUCUCACUCA
This 118-nucleotide ribosomal RNA is filed under the name Diaphorina citri (Asian citrus psyllid). Lineage: Eukaryota; Metazoa; Arthropoda; Insecta; Hemiptera; Psyllidae. The record is from RNAcentral.